ACUGCGUACCUUUUGUAUAAUGGGUCAGCGAGUUAUUGUCAGUAGCGAGGUUAACCGUUUAGGGGAGCCGUAGGGAAACCGAGUCUUAAUAGGGCGUCUUAGUUGCUGGUAAUAGACCCGAAACUGGGCGAUCUAGCCAUGGCCAGGUUGAAGGUGCCGUAACAGGCACUGGAGGACCGAACCCACCUAUGUUGAAAAAUGGGGGGAUGAGCUGUGGCUCGGAGUGAAAGGCUAAUCAAGCCCAGAGAUAGCUGGUUCUCCUCGAAAGCUAUUUAGGUAGCGCCUCGUGUCUAACUGUUGGGGGUAGAGCACUGUGUCGGCUAGGGGGUCAUCCCGACUUACCAACCCGAUGCAA
Molecule: ribosomal RNA, 355 nt
Filed under: Symbiodinium sp. clade A
Lineage: Eukaryota; Dinophyceae; Suessiales; Symbiodiniaceae
Description: partial Bacterial large subunit ribosomal RNA
Rfam family: Bacterial large subunit ribosomal RNA
Source: RNAcentral